Molecule: non-coding RNA, 504 nt
Organism: Cricetulus griseus (Chinese hamster)
Lineage: Eukaryota; Metazoa; Chordata; Mammalia; Rodentia; Cricetidae
Source: the annotation of a RefSeq genome assembly
AUGGGAUGGAGCUGGAUCACCCUCUUCCUGGUUACAGCAACUGCAGGGGUCCACUCCCACGUCCAGCUGCAGCAGUCUGGGGCUGAGGUGGCGAAGCCUGGAGCCUCAGUGAAGCUGUCCUGCAAGGCUUCACGCUAUACCUUCACCAGCCACUAUAUGAGUUGGGUGAAGCAGAAGCCUGGACAGGGCCUGGAGUGGAUUGGAUGGAUUGGUGGUGGAAGUGGUGAUACUGAUUAUAAUCAGAGGUUCCAGGGUAAGGCCACACUGACUAGAGACAAAUCCUCCAGCACAGCUUACAUGGAGCUCAAGAGCCAGACAUCUGACAAAGCUGCAGUCUAUUACUGUACAAGAAUCACAGUGUUACAACCAUAUCCUGAGUAUGUCAGAAACCAUGGAGGAGCAGGAAGCUGCCCUGGGACUCAGCUAACAGAGAAGAUAAACCUGGGGACUCCCUCAGAAAUAAUCAUUCUGAGUGUCCCAUUGUCUGUCACUUCCUGGUCCUAG